CCAGAAAACAAAACAAUUAAACUAGCUAUACCAAGAUCUUAAGUGAUAGUGUGAUCGAAGCUUUAAGACGUCACUGGAUCCCCGAUGCUAGCUUGGCGGCACUAUAAGGAAAGAAAAGAAAGGAGGGUAAGCGUGGGAGCUUAGUAAGUACAUAUAUGCAAAUAAAGUGUAAUUAAAAGAAAAUCAUGCUACAUAUAUGCAAAUAAAGUGUAAUUAAAAGAAAAUCAUAUUCAUCAAACGGUAACUUGUCAUGCUUAAAAGAUAUAAAUCUUUUAACAUCUCUAUCUUACUCUUCCUUUCAUUCAUGUAUACUUAAUACAUCUCGUCCCUUACUCAGGUAUUAUCCAUAAGUUCAGUAUACAUACCUCAUCAAGUUUUCACUAAUUAAAUCUUUAAUGUUACCCCUUGAACUCUCGGAAUACAUAUGGAUACGCGGGGAAUUUGCAUUUAAUUACCAUAUAAGAAAUCAGGGCUACCUCGUGCUAUGAAACGCUCACAUUUGAGCUACUCACGGGCCUUUUUAUCAUGUCAGGAGUCGGACCCCAUAACUAUCAUGUAACAUUCACUCAUUGAGCCACUCACGGGUCUGUACACAAAGCCAGUACCCGGACCCACGUUACUUAUAAUAUUUAUCUCAUGAAACAGACUCAACUCAUGAGUUCAGACCACAUAAUUUUAUAACAUACCCCUUUGUAUCCUAUGCUAUGUCUAAGGUCCAACGGGAUUUCUUAACUAGCCGAAUAGCAUCGUACUUGAUCACAACUACUUUACUCACAUAACAUGUCAUUUAUACAUUUAUGGCAAUAAAUAGAAUUUAGAUACAUAACAACAAUGAGCUAAUUACACAUGUAUAUUAUCAAAAUAUUCCAAAGUAAGCUUCAAUAACACAUUAUUCACAUAUGUACUUACCUCAAUACAAAAUGAUGAAGACGAGCUUAAUCCUUGUAAACUUUGUUCUUACCCCGAUCAAGACCCGAAUCACGCUUCUAUUGAUCUAAAUUAAUAAAAUUUAUUUAUUUCAUCAGCACAUCAAUUUAGACACUCAAAAUUUCAUAAUUGGGCAAAAUGACUAUUUUGCCCCUAGACUUUCACAAAAUGACCAUUUUACCCCUAUGCUCGAAAGUCAAUUUUUAUCGAAUUUCUCCCUAUUAUACGCCUAGUGAACCAUUUUUACUCUUAUAACAAUCCAAAAUUUAUGCUAUUUCACACAUUUAUCAUCUAUUUUACAACUUAUGCAAAAUAGUCCCUAUUAGGGUUUUCGUAAGAAAUCCCUUCACAAAAGUUGUUUCUUACUCAUCUAAGACUCAUAUUCUUCCACAAAAAUUCAGAAAACAACUUAAAUGCUCUCAUGGAAAAACCCUAUACUUUCAAAAAUUUUGCAAAAUAGUCCCCUCAUUAGAAAGCUCAUGACACAAGGGUCUCAAAAAUGUAAAAAUCAUUAAGAAAACUCAUUAAAAUCACUUACUUGUAGAGAGACUAAGUGGCUGAAAAUUUUGAAGCUCAAAAACCCUUUAAUG
This 1517-nucleotide long non-coding RNA is filed under the name Gossypium barbadense (sea-island cotton). RNAcentral describes it as "long non-coding RNA (GBAR_LNC007555)". Lineage: Eukaryota; Viridiplantae; Streptophyta; Magnoliopsida; Malvales; Malvaceae. The record is from RNAcentral.